Molecule: ribosomal RNA, 511 nt
Filed under: Drosophila nr. perissopoda 1 RL-2010
Lineage: Eukaryota; Metazoa; Arthropoda; Insecta; Diptera; Drosophilidae
Description: partial 16S ribosomal RNA
Rfam family: Bacterial large subunit ribosomal RNA
Source: RNAcentral
GUCUUUUUGAAUUAAAUUUAAAGUCUGACCUGCCCACUGAAAAUUUUAAAUGGCCGCAGUAUUCUAACUGUGCAAAGGUAGCAUAAUCAUUAGUCUUUUAAUUGAAGGCUGGAAUGAAUGGUUGGACGAAAUAUUAACUGUUUCAUUUAAAAUUUUUAUAUAAUUUUAUUUUUUAGUCAAAAAGCUAAAAUAAAUUUAAAAGACGAGAAGACCCUAUAAAUCUUUAUAUUUUGUUUAUUUUAAUUAUAAAGAUUAUUUUUAUUAUAAUAAGUUAAAAUAUUUUAUUGGGGUGAUAUUAAAAUUUAAAAAACUUUUAAUUUUUAAAAACCAUUAAUUUAUGAGUAAUUGAUCCAUUAAUAAUGAUUAAAAAUUUAAGUUACUUUAGGGAUAACAGCGUAAUUUUUUUGGAGAGUUCAUAUCGAUAAAAAAGAUUGCGACCUCGAUGUUGGAUUAAGAUAUAAUUUUGGGUGUAGCCGUUCAAAUUUUAAGUCUGUUCGACUUUUAAAUUCUU